RNAcentral lists this long non-coding RNA (1035 nucleotides) under Gossypium barbadense (sea-island cotton). RNAcentral describes it as "long non-coding RNA (GBAR_LNC009901)". Lineage: Eukaryota; Viridiplantae; Streptophyta; Magnoliopsida; Malvales; Malvaceae. The record is from RNAcentral.
GAAUCUCCAAUGGCUGAGAUAUUGGUAAGUUUAGCCGCUUUUUUACUUUAAUUUCUAAGUUUGAUGCUUGGCUGGUCGUACUGCAAUUUCUGAGAUUGAUAAGCCUAUCUAGGUCCAGUGAAUAAUAUAGUUAAUAAUUGACAUAAAUCCUGUCUGUAUCAUGGUAGCAACUAGCAGUUAAAGAAACUAUUAAGUUUGGCAGCUUCUUGGUUUAGAGAUAAUGGUGGUGGAGCCAAUGCAAUAAGAAAUGCAUUCUUUAAAAUAAGCCACUGAUUAAUAAAACAGAAAACUAUUGGACACUUUAAAAAAGAAAAUUAGGGUGAAGCUGAAUCUUUAUUCUUAUGAGGUAACAGGAGGAUUUCUUGUUGUCACAGUUCAAACCAAAAAUAUUCUAAGACCAUGCAUAAAUGAAUCAAUAAACACCCUCCUCCUAGGAAUUGUGAGAUUAAAUAAUAAAUUCAUACAGCUUUUUCUUAGCAGACAGCCUGUUUUUGUUUCUUAUUUUAUUCAAAGGUUUGAAUUUUCUAGUUCAAAUAAUGCCUCCUAUGAUUUGAUAAUAUAUUAAUCUUCAUUUUGCCAUGAUUUGUCUUUGUCAUCAACCAAAUUAUUCGGUUGAAUUAAUUGAUAACUCAUUCGAUUGGGUUGUGGCUUAAUUAAUAUUACUAUUUAUUUAAUUUUAAAUCUGUUUUUCAAAUAUUGAAACACAUGCUUUUCACUAAAUUGAUUAAUUAAUCCCAAUCCAAAAUUUUUAACAUUGGAGCUUACUAUGAAAGCUGUUUUGAUAUAUAUUUAAUGGGAUUAUAAUUUUUUCACUAGUAUCAAGGGACUUGUUUUGAGAGAAGCUUUUCAACCUUAAAGUAUCGUGUGUUGGUUCCCCCUCAAUGAUGGUCUUGUUCAUGCUGGGUUUUGUCUCCCGCUUCUCCUGAAAAGUCUUGAGGAGUUUCGGCUGGUAUUAUCUAUACCCAUAAAUGUUAUAUAAAGAUUUAGGUUCAAACCUCCUUAUAAGACCAAAUAUUUACAUUCUUUUAGUGGGUG